UAGUCCACGCUGUAAACGAUGUCUACUUGGAGGUUGUUGUCUUGAAUGAUGGCUUUCGGAGCUAACGCGUUAAGUAGACCGCCUGGGGAGUACGGCCGCAAGGUUAAAACUCAAAUGAAUUGACGGGGGCCCGCACAAGCGGUGGAGCAUGUGGUUUAAUUCGAUGCAACGCGAAGAACCUUACCUACUCUUGACAUCUAGAGAAGCCAGCGGAGACGCAGGUGUGCCUUCGGGAACUCUAAGACAGGUGCUGCAUGGCUGUCGUCAGCUCGUGUUGUGAAAUGUUCGGUUAAGUCCGGCAACGAGCGCAACCCCUAUCCUUAGUUACCAGCAUUGAGUUGGGGACUCUAGGGAGACUGCCGGUGUCAAACCGGAGGAAGGCGGGGAUGACGUCAAGUCCUCAUGGGCUCUUACGGGCCAGGGGCUACACACGUACUACAAUGGGUAGAAACAAACAGUCGCGAAACCGCGAGGUCAAGCUAACCUGU
Molecule: ribosomal RNA, 488 nt
Filed under: uncultured bacterium
Lineage: Bacteria
Description: bacterial SSU rRNA
Rfam family: Bacterial small subunit ribosomal RNA
Source: RNAcentral